GACGAACGCUGGCGGCGUGCUUAACACAUGCAAGUCGAACGGAGCGAAUGAAAGCUUGCUUUUAUGAGCUUAGUGGCAAACGGGUGAGUAACACGUAGACAACCUGCCGACAGGAUGGGGACAACAUUACGAAAGGAAUGCUAAUACCGAAUGAAGUCAGAGGAGGGCAUCCUCCUCUGAUGAAAGAUGGCCUCUGAAUAUGCUAUCACCUGUUGAUGGGUCUGCGUCUGAUUAGCUAGUUGGUGAGGUAACGGCUCACCAAGGCGACGAUCAGUAGCCGGUCUGAGAGGAUGAACGGCCACAUUGGGACUGAGACACGGCCCAGACUCCUACGGGAGGCAGCAGUGGGGAAUCUUCCGCAAUGGGCGCAAGCCUGACGGAGCAACGCCGCGUGAGUGAAGAAGGUCUUCGGAUCGUAAAGCUCUGUUGACGGGGACGAACGUGCGGAGUGCGAAUAGCGCU
This 462-nucleotide ribosomal RNA is filed under the name Selenomonas sp. oral taxon 149. RNAcentral describes it as "bacterial SSU rRNA". It matches the Rfam family "Bacterial small subunit ribosomal RNA", at positions 28 to 468 of the family's 1533-position model. Lineage: Bacteria; Bacillati; Bacillota; Negativicutes; Selenomonadales; Selenomonadaceae. The record is from RNAcentral.